UAGGGAAUCUUCGGCAAUGGACGGAAGCCUGACCGAGCAACGCCGCGUGAGUGAAGAAGGUUUUCGGAUCGUAAAGCCCUGUUGUUAGAGAAGAACGUUGGUAGGAGUGGAAAAUCUACCAAGUGACGGUAACUAACCAGAAAGGGACGGCUAACUACGUGCCAGCAGCCGCGGUAAUACGUAGGUCCCGAGCGUUGUCCGGAUUUAUUGGGCGUAAAGCGAGCGCAGGCGGUUCUUUAAGUCUGAAGUUAAAGGCAGUGGCUUAACCAUUGUACGCUUUGGAAACUGGAGGGCUUGAGUGCAGAAGGGGAGGGUGGAAUUCCAUGUGUAGCAGUGAAAUGCGUAGAUAUAUGGAGGAACACCGGUGGCGAAAGCGGCUCUCUGGUCUGUAACUGACGCUGAGGCUCGAAAGCGUGGGGAGCAAACAGG
RNAcentral lists this ribosomal RNA (429 nucleotides) under Bacillota bacterium. RNAcentral's name for it is "Firmicutes bacterium partial 16S ribosomal RNA". It matches the Rfam family "Bacterial small subunit ribosomal RNA", at positions 355 to 776 of the family's 1533-position model. Lineage: Bacteria; Bacillati; Bacillota. The record is from RNAcentral.